UUAUUAUUAUUAUUAUUAUUAAUGAUGCUAGUACUAAAGAAAUGCAUAGUUUUGAGGACUGGGUGGUGGCAAAAGCACUAAAAACAUAUUUAUUAUAGUUUUAUGUCCUACUAAAGAAAUUUCUUUGGGGAAAUUCCAUUGAGAAUAUUAAAAGUGGAAGCAUAGAUGAGUCUUAACCAAGAUAUAUAUAUAUAUAUAUAUA
This 202-nucleotide unclassified non-coding RNA is filed under the name Hevea brasiliensis (rubber tree). Lineage: Eukaryota; Viridiplantae; Streptophyta; Magnoliopsida; Malpighiales; Euphorbiaceae. The record is from RNAcentral.